RNAcentral lists this ribosomal RNA (301 nucleotides) under uncultured bacterium. RNAcentral's name for it is "partial 16S ribosomal RNA". It matches the Rfam family "Bacterial small subunit ribosomal RNA", at positions 509 to 807 of the family's 1533-position model. The record is from RNAcentral.
CAGCAGCCGCGGUAAUACGGAGGGAGCUAGCGUUAUUCGGAAUUACUGGGCGUAAAGCGCACGUAGGCGGCUUUGUAAGUAAGAGGUGAAAGCCCGGGGCUCAACCCCGGAAUUGCCUUUUAGACUGCAUCGCUUGAAUCAUGGAGAGGUCAGUGGAAUUCCGAGUGUAGAGGUGAAAUUCGUAGAUAUUCGGAAGAACACCAGUGGCGAAGGCGGCUGACUGGACAUGUAUUGACGCUGAGGUGCGAAAGCGUGGGGAGCAAACAGGAUUAGAUACCCGCGUAGUCCCUGUCUCUUAUAC